Molecule: non-coding RNA, 6190 nt
Organism: Equus caballus (horse)
Lineage: Eukaryota; Metazoa; Chordata; Mammalia; Perissodactyla; Equidae
Source: RefSeq, a predicted model, not a curated record
ACUUCGUGGACAUCGUCUAAUUCUACAACUGCAUGCAGUAGAGCUGCUUAUUAUUCCCACUGAGAGCUGAGGAAACAGUUUGCCCAAGGUCUCUCAGAGGCUUUGAACUCAGGUCUUUCUGAUGUCAGAGCCCAAGCUGCAGAUCGUGACCACAUCUAAGAAUCCAUGAUAAAAUAAUAAUGACUUUCGAUUGUCAUUGAGCAUUCAGUACGCUCCAGGCUUCUAAAGUGCUUUAUGCGUACUAACUACAACAGCUCUGUCAGACAGAUACUAUUACUAUUAACCCAUUUUACAAAGGAGGAAACUAAGUCACAGAGUGGUUAAAGAGCCUGCCCAGGAUCCCAAAAGCCCAGAGAGUCUGGCUCCAUUGGCUGUGUUCUUACCACUCACCAUACUCCGUCUACCUCGUGGAUUCCCACGAUCUACUUUAGGAACCUCCUCCGGCUCUGCUUUUUCUCUUUCCUAGACGACUUACUCCAAAAGAAAACAGCACUCUCCUUAAACCAGCCAACCAAAGCAGAGACAAGAAAUAGAAGACAGCCACCGUUAAAGUAAAAUCAUUUUGAAAAUAUUUGCACAAGAAAUUAUCCUACUAGAUUAUGCUAUCCUCUGUUUAUAGUUACUUUCAGACUUUCAGUUCAGGAAUAAUGUGAAGAAUGUGCCAAUAUAACUAGACAUAUAAAAAAUAUAUACUAUUUUAGCGAGGAAAUGACAACUAGAAUUUGCUUCCUAGUCUGACAGCCUAAAAGUACGUAUGCUAGAGGGUGCUGUUGAAGAAUUUUAGGGUUUUUGUCCAUUUGGUGUUCUCAGAUUUGCACGGGGUAUUGCUAUGGGCUAGGGUGAGCUUAUAAUUUUGAAUUAAAGUCUGUUUAACCUCAGUCUGUUAACUGUUAACCAACACGAUAUUUUACUGCAGAAAAAAUUUUAAAAUAACAUAUUCAUUAUAUGUAGUUAGUUCUUAUUCACGCAGAAGCAUUAAUCACCCGUUACUUUCUUUUCCCCUUGCACAUCCGAGAACUCAAUUAAAAGAUAAUGAAACGUAGGUGUUAAACCCAAAGAAGGCGGCACUGUCUCUAGAGCAUUAUCGAUGGUGUAAAGACUUGUGUCGUGGGGGUAGUUAAUAGAAUCUGUGAGCUGAAGGAAACACAAAAUCAAAUUAGUGGAACCAAAACAUUAGCCAUCAGGAAAUCUUAGUUCUAACUCCCCUGCUCCACAAUUAAGCGAAAUUACCUAAGUACUUGUUAAUAAAUCAGGAGGCAGGAAAUACAUAGGAUUAGAAGGUUAGAAAGUACAGCAGUGCUUAUGCUGAACUGGUACAAUUUUGGCCACGCAAGCUCAGUCUAAAAUAGGAAAGGUGACAUCAUUAAACACAUCAAAGGCCAAAAAACACGCAGAACCAGCUCAAAAGCCGUACAAUUAGGAAUUAAACAUUUGUAUAGAUACAUAUCCUUCUCCGAACAUUCAAUAGUGGUCUAAAAAAUUAUUUGUUCUAGAAUUGUGCCUGGUUCUACACAAUAUAAUUUUAGCAGUAGACAUUGAAUUUUUUUUUGAAUAAAUGAAGGUUAUUUGUCAAUUCCAGCACUUCCAAGUUUGCAGCACUUUAAUACUUGGUUGUUAAAAGGAAAGGAGGAAGAGACAUCUGUGUACGUGGAAAGGCACUGCGUGACGGAUGACAAUUUACGAAGAUAUCACGUUACCUGGAUUAUUCCUCACUGCUUCAUACGUCGCUUCUCCCACUCAGAGUGAAUGACCUGACGUAGGAGGCAUCGCGUUACACACAUUGCUCUGAUAUUUUAUGCAGCUGCUAGAGCAGUGUAGGCAAAAGGAACUCCAUGAACACUUGCUGAUUGAUAAAUCAUACAGACAGAACUGUGAGCUAAUGCCUCUGGAGUUUAUCCAAGUCUGUGGGAGCGUUCCUAUAGUUCGGGGACAGCUAUUACUCUCCAACUGUGGUUUAAAGGUGGAGGUGAACAGCCUAACACCAUCUGGCUAAAAGAACCAUUUCCCUUCUUAAAAAUUACUAAGUCAAAUAUAAUUUUUUCCUUUCAGGUCUCAAGUCCAAGCUAAUUAUCGCUUAUGAUUAGAAGACCCGGCAGCUUUUGGAGUACUGAGGCGAAGUGGUUUUUCUUGCUACACGUGAAACCACAGGGAGCAUUACCAACUAGCAGGGACUCAGCGCUUACCUCUUGCCAGGCAUUGUCUGAAGGUUUUAUGUGUAUUAACUGACUGAACACUCACAACAAUUCUAUAGGGAAAUACUGUUACUAUCAUAGUCGCCAUUUCAGAUGAAGAAACAGAGCUUAAGUACCCGGCCCCAGCUCACACAAAGCAUCUGACUCUAGAUGCCCAACAACCAGAAUGGGCAGCCUGGUAAUCUGGGACUUUCCUCCGCUCAACAUGGGUGGCAGCUGGCAGCCAAAGGACCCUGCAUUGGGGAUGCUCAAGAAGAGUCCUUGCAUCAGGUAGACAGUUUCACUUGACCUUCAACCUUCCAGCUAAAGAUUCCAACAUGUUUUUGUUCACAACCUAAUGGUUUACGUAUAUUUUGACUUUGAAAUUCCUGGCAUAUACAAUGGGUGUUUUAACAACAACAACAACAACAACAAAAUCCUAGCAACUACCCUAGGAAAUAAAGGAAAGAAGGCACAAUUUGUCACCUUGCCAAGAUCAAAUAUUCUGAGAGCCUGAGUGAAAUCAGCAGUCAUCACUCACACAAAUCUGGGCCAUAGAAAUCAUAAGGGUAAUUUACUGAUGGACAUUCAAGAUUGAAUAUUCUGUGACAUACAUACUAAUGGCUUCUCACUGGUGAGUGUUGGGGAGUCGUGAAGAGGUGGCUGAAGAGUAAAACAAAGCUAAGAUGAAAAGUGUAAGCUAAGCUUCCAUCUCAAUGGCUGCUAAUGAGUCAGUGAGAAGAGGGAAGGACAAGGAGACAGGAAACGGGCUGGGAUGAUCCAGUCCUUAGAGAGCCACCACAGCCAGUGGCCUUCUGCUCCUAUCAUUUCUAACACCAAGUGGGGAAAGUAGGACAUACAAUAGAUUUUAUAUAUAGACAUGUGCUGAAUUGAUAUAAAAAACAGGUUUAUCCCAAUGUUCUUUUAGGACAACUGCACACUGGGAAAUUCCCCUGGAAUGCCCCACUUUACCUCUGAAGAGCUGUGCCUAAAUCACAGUGGUGUUAUCUAGAACACAGGGUUCCAGCAGCUACAUUCUGUGGUCAUACUGCCAAGGUAUUGGUGGUGGUUUUUUAUGUUAAAACAAAUUACUUAAAAAAAAGAAAAAAAAAUAUAUAUAUAAAAGCAAAGAGCACCAAAAUCAACCCAAAUACUUCCUGAGUGAAAAUUACAACUUGAGGGGAAUGUUGUUUUAAAUUGGGCUUCUCAGGCUAACUCAACACUGUAAGAACAGUAAGGGAUGGAUUCCUGGCCCCUACAACGAUAUUUGUGAGUCAGGUGGCUAAGGCGCAUCACCGAGAACUCCCAAUUGAUACUGUGUAGAGAACUCCCAAUUGAUACUGUGUAGAGGGCAGCUCACACGCAGGCAAAGAAAUCAGCCAUAAUUCGUAAGUUGAUGGAAUGUUUGCCAAUGAGGAGAAACUCUUUUCUGUUUGAAGCAAGCUAAAAACUGAUUAAAAAAAAAACACAAAGCAACUAGCAUUUUCGGGAACAGAGUGGGAGGGGAAAUGACAUAAAGGUUAGUAAGUCUUGUGAUGCUCGGGGCCACUUUUAUCACAGAGUGACUCAGUUGGACAAAAAAUAGAAAAGGAUUUUCUAAGCCAAGACAGCCUUCCAUUCAUGUUUUCCUUUCUAAAAUUAUAGCCAUCCUCUUUCACAGUAAGGAUCAUGUUUUUACAGUGUGGAGCAUGGCUUCCCCCUAGGCCUGGUCCUCCGGGGCUGGCACUAUGCAGAGAUUCCCUUUCUACGGUUUCUAAGGCUGGUUCUGUUUUCCCUUCCUUCACUCUUCUUCAACACACUGAAUUGUUCCAAAAUAAAACAUAACUUUUUCUAGUUGAAAGCAUUACAUGAAAAAAUAAUGAGCGGUAGUCACAAUGGUAGUGAGGGUGGGAGGUUCCUUCCUUCUCGUUUUGUUUUUAAGUAAACAGGAGUCUGUCUCCUGAUUCCCUUCCAUUGCGCUGGCCCAGCACCUGGCAGAGGCCUCUCGUUCCUCUCCUCUGCCCAGAUCCAGGAGAGGCACCAGCCUUCUUAGGACAAGGCUGCCUUUACCAGCAGAGGCUCUGAGACACUCCACUCUGGAAGCAAGAAGAGGGUUUUGGAUAUGUUUUGUUAACCUGAAAGGAGCACACACAGUGCGAGGCCAUGUGUGUCAAUAGGCACUACAGGUUCCUUUGCUCAGGUUGGGAGACUGGAAUUCUACCACUGCUGCUGGCCUACCCCACGGCUUUACUCAAUUCUCAUCCGCCUUAGCUUAUUUGUCCAAGAAGCCAACUGAAACCCCUGAGAAUACAUACUAUGGUGAACACUGUGAAUGCCUCUCAGCGUGUGUGUCUCUGCUGUGCGUGUGUGCAUGUGUGUUGGGGGGAAUGAGGGAGAGGAGUGAACAAUUACUAAUUAGGAUAACAUUUCUUACAUAUCUUUCUAGAAUACAGUUCAAAACAAAGCAGAAAGGAAGCAGCAGAGCUUUAUCUCCCUCUAGCAGCCGUCCUAGCCUGGGGCUAAAGUGAGUUCACCUCAGGGGUCCAUUGUGUCCAGAUGGCCCGGAGGGCCAGUGGGCUGGUUCACACGUGACAGUUUGCAUGAGGCACCAAGUUACCUCCAGGGAAAUUAUUUUUCCUGCCACAGGCUUGUUACCUAAAUCAGAGGAAUGUCUCAGCAUCGGAGGGGAGCUGGGAUGAAUUUCUCCUCACUCAGAACUUCUGAUUUAGUCAAGCCUCCCACCCCAGCCCACAACAUUCUCUCCCCCUAGUCACCUCCCCUGAUCUAGGAGUCAAAACAGAAAGGCAGGUUUCACCAAAGACCUGAGAAGAAUUUGGGAGCACAGGUAUUGAUGGGGUUCAGGGCAGGCUGCCCCCAAAUGUGACACUUUGGCAUAUCGAUUAUUUUGAAUUAAAGGUACUUAAGAAACAGCCAGUGCCAGCAGGACACUCUGACCCUCCUCUGUCCCCCUGAAAGCAGGAGAGAAAUCUGCCAUAUGGAAGGUACCCUUCCUGUACCAGGAGGUAGAGAGACCUCCUUAUCACCAGAGAGAGAGAAUUUAGAGUGGAGAAGCCUAUAUAAACCAAUCUUGUUACUUCUUCACUAAUUUACUGCUGCAAGCCCAAACCUCUUAGUCUCGUUAAUUCCUCACGAUUUAUUGUUUCUUCAUCUAAAAGGUAUAAAAGCUGCCUGCUUUGGUUACGUCUUUGAGUCUCAUAUUUUUAUGAGCUUCCAUACGCACAAAAUCAAAUUUGUUUCUCUCUGUUAAUCUGUCUUAUGUCAAUUUAAUUAUUAGGCCAACCAAAGAAUCUAGAAGGGAAGAAGGGGAAAGAUUUCCUCCCCUACAGGAGCUCUGGUCCAGGACUCUAAGACAGGAAGGUAACAGGUGUCUUUGCAUGUGGGUGUGGAUGUGCAUGAGAGCGUAUAUUUGUGUGCGUUCCCACAUCACCAGAGAAGGCUCACAGUGCAGUUCCACAGAACAGUGGUCUUCGGUGAGGAUUCUUCCAUAAGGAAAGCAGCAGCAUCUGGCUGUGGACAUCAGUGCCUUCAGCUCAGGCUACAACAUCAGCAGCAGCUAAGAGGGCCCUCUGCCCGGCACUGAUGGCUUCUUAGAUCUAGGGGUCCAGCAGCAGAUCCCACAGGACUAGAGAGCAGGGUGGGUGAGGGGUGGGAGGAAUGGUGGUGACACAUGGUAGUAUUGGGACUCUGUUCAAAGUGACCCAUCAGGUAUCUCCUGGAAUCCCAGGAAUAGCUCAGGAACCUCAAAGUGGAGUGUGUGCAGGGGAUCUGGUCCAACAUGGAGAUAGAGGCAGAGAAAUUCAUUCAUUCAUUUGCUCAUUCAGUCAUUCCACAUAAAUGGAACUGAGGAGUAGCUAUGAACAGGCAUUGUUCUAGGUGCUGAGCAGGGAAAAAAAAAGACAAAAACCCAUGCUCUAAUAGAGCUUUAACGGGGUGAAGGCAUAGGGCAAUAAAAAAUGAGCAAACACAUAAAUAGUAUCAAGUAGGUAGUGAGAAGCAGUAAGAAGAAAUGUGAGUGGGGG